GGCUUAACACAUGCAAGUCGAGGGGUAUAAGUAGCAAUAUUUAGAGACCGGCGCACGGGUGAGUAACGCGUAUGCAACCUGCCCUUUACUGGGGGAUAGCCCGUAGAAAUGCGGAUUAAUACCCCAUAGUUCUGUUAGAUCGCAUGGUUUGACAGAUAAAGUUUCGGUGGUAAAGGAUGGGCAUGCGUGACAUUAGCUAGUUGGUAGGGUAACGGCCUACCAAGGCUACGAUGUCUAGGGGUUCUGAGAGGAAGAUCCCCCACACUGGUACUGAGACACGGACCAGACUCCUACGGGAGGCAGCAGUGAGGAAUAUUGGUCAAUGGGCGAGAGCCUGAACCAGCCAUCCCGCGUGCAGGAAGAAUGCCCUAUGGGUUGUAAACUGCUUUUUCGCAUGAAGAACACCCCUGACGUGUCGGGGGCUGACGGUAAUGCGUGAAUAAGCACCGGCUAACUCCGUGCCAGCAGCCGCGGUAAUACGGAGGGUGCAAGCGUUAUCCGGAUUUAUUGGGUUUAAAGGGUGCGUAGGCGGCUUUUUAAGUCAGUGGUGAAAUCCUGCAGCUCAACUGUAGAACAGCCAUUGAAACUGAAAAGCUUGAGUAAUCUUGAGGUAGGCGGAAUGUGUAGUGUAGCGGUGAAAUGCUUAGAUAUUACACAGAACACCGAUUGCGAAGGCAGCUUACUAAGGAUUUACUGACGCUGAUGCACGAAAGCGUGGGGAUCAAACAGGAUUAGAUACCCUGGUAGUCCACGCCGUAAACGAUGAUAACUCGCUGUUGGCGAUACACAGUCAGCGGCUUAGCGAAAGCGU
RNAcentral lists this ribosomal RNA (811 nucleotides) under uncultured bacterium. Its description in RNAcentral is "bacterial SSU rRNA". It matches the Rfam family "Bacterial small subunit ribosomal RNA", at positions 45 to 860 of the family's 1533-position model. The record is from RNAcentral.